Molecule: ribosomal RNA, 790 nt
Filed under: uncultured bacterium
Lineage: Bacteria
Description: bacterial SSU rRNA
Rfam family: Bacterial small subunit ribosomal RNA
Source: RNAcentral
AGAGUUUGAUCCUGGCUCAGAUUGAACGCUGGCGGCAUGCCUUACACAUGCAAGUCGAACGGUAACAGGCCGCAAGGUGCUGACGAGUGGCGAACGGGUGAGUAAUGCAUCGGAACGUGCCCAGUAGUGGGGGAUAGCCCGGCGAAAGCCGGAUUAAUACCGCAUGAACUCGUGAGAGCAAAGUCGGGGACCUUCGGGCCUGGCGCUUUUGGAGAAGCCUAUGUCGGAUUAGCUAGUUGGUGAGGUAAUGGCUCACCAAGGCUGCGACCCGUAACUGGUCUGAGAGGAUGAUCAGUCACACCGGAACUGAGACACGGUCCGGACUCCUACGGGAGGCAGCAGUGGGGAAUAUUGGACAAUGGGCGAAAGCCUGAUCCAGCAAUGCCGCGUGUGUGAAGAAGGCCUUCGGGUUGUAAAGCACUUUAGGCUGGAAAGAAAAAGCUUUGGCUAAUAUCCAAAGCCUUGACGGUACCAGCAGAAUAAGCACCGGCUAACUCUGUGCCAGCAGCCGCGGUAAUACAGAGGGUGCAAGCGUUAAUCGGAUUUACUGGGCGUAAAGCGUGCGUAGGCGGCUAUUUAAGUCGGAUGUGAAAGCCCUGGGCUUAACCUGGGAACUGCAUUCGAUACUGGGUAGCUGGAGAUCGGUAGAGGGCGGCGGAAUUCCGGGUGUAGCGGUGAAAUGCGUAGAUAUCCGGAGGAACACCGAUGGCGUAGGCAACCGCCUGGGCCUGAUCUGACGCUGAGGCACGAAAGCGUGGGGAGCAAACAGGAUUAGAUACCCUGGUAGUCC